GAGGAAAGUCCGGGCUCCUUGAUGACACGGUGGCGGCUAACGGCCGCCGGGGGCGACCCCAGGGAAAGUGCCACAGAGAACAUACCGCCCGCCUUCGCUGCUUUGCAGCUUCGGCGAGGUAAGGGUGAAAAGGUGCGGUAAGAGCGCACCGCGCUUCUGGCAACAGAGGCGGCAGGGCAAACCCCACCGGGAGCAAGAUCGAAUAGGGAUGGGCGCGCGGAGCGGGAAACCGCAGACGCGGGGCGUGUCAUCGCGCUACUCAUCCGGGUUGAUUGCACGAGGCGUCUGGCAACAGGCGUCCCAGAUGAAUGGCCGUCGCGGAGCAUUUAGGCCAACACCCGGCAUG
This 346-nucleotide RNase P RNA is filed under the name Hyphomicrobium sp. GJ21. Its description in RNAcentral is "RNaseP_bact_a". It matches the Rfam family "Bacterial RNase P class A", at positions 43 to 350 of the family's 367-position model. From Rfam's summary of the family: Ribonuclease P (RNase P) is a ubiquitous endoribonuclease, found in archaea, bacteria and eukarya as well as chloroplasts and mitochondria. Its best characterised activity is the generation of mature 5'-ends of tRNAs by cleaving the 5'-leader elements of precursor-tRNAs. Lineage: Bacteria; Pseudomonadati; Pseudomonadota; Alphaproteobacteria; Hyphomicrobiales; Hyphomicrobiaceae. The record is from RNAcentral.